AUGAGUUUGUUACAGAGUGUUAAGCUAUCAGUAUGGACUAAUUUUACACAAAGGCACUGGAACAGCAUUGCUGUAGAUUCAGAAGUGGUGUUCUCCCCAAGGAAGGCUCCCCAGAGAACCACUUCCGAUUGCUUUUGUCCCGCUCAUCCCCCCUCCUCUUCAGCCCUGGAAAGAAAUACAUUCAAAGUAAUGGUAGUUUUGAGUAAAUGUGCUACAGGAAACCGAAAACAAUCUGUCAUGACUAUACACACACAAAUCAACAAACAAAACUUAUUUACAAAUAUUUGUACCUACAAGCAUAAGGACCAAGUUUAAUACUUGUGAAAUGUAUCUGAUUGCUAGAUGUAGACUGGCAGAGUUCCAUUCUUCAGCAAUAUCAGCAUAACAUUUCUACACUGCAACCACCACGUGGCUUCAAUCAGGUCUAUCCUGAAAUUUUUGUGUCUAGUUGAUCCGUAUCAUAAAACUGAAAAGCUGUACAGGUGUUUUAACCCUCUUUUGUGAUACAGACACACAUUCACCACCUACCUGAGGCUUCCCAGCAUUCUACCCAACAAGCAGGCAGCAACCUAGGGCUAUUGCUGUUACAAAUUUGUCCAGUCUGCUCAUAACAUGUUAAUUUUGGAUCACGUGGAUUCAUUCUUCAAAGCAUGCAUUUCAUCAUCUGCUACAUUUUUAAUAUUAAAAAAGGUUGAGUUAUAUAAAAUUAAAUCUGUAUGCAAAAAAAAUAAGCCCAGAUGUGCUUAAAAAUAGACUAAGUAGGUAUUUAGUUACUGUCUGCUGCAUUUUAACAUGGGCAUAAUUAGCAUCUAACAAAAAGCUAAAAGAUGUGUAUUUAUGGAACUCAACACUUCACCCAGUCAUACAGUUAACUGUCCUCAAAAGCUAACAAGCAGACCAAUUCACAAGUACCCAACUUGUUUACAUAAUUGAAAGAGUAAGAUGCAAAGUCAAAAAAAUAUAUUUUAUCCCUUAAGAUCAGGAAAGUAAAAUAAAAUGCUGGUUCUGUAACA
RNAcentral lists this long non-coding RNA (1013 nucleotides) under Anser cygnoides (Swan goose). RNAcentral's name for it is "lncRNA (ENSACDG00005000869.1)". Lineage: Eukaryota; Metazoa; Chordata; Aves; Anseriformes; Anatidae. The record is from RNAcentral.